RNAcentral lists this ribosomal RNA (253 nucleotides) under uncultured bacterium. Its description in RNAcentral is "partial 16S ribosomal RNA". It matches the Rfam family "Bacterial small subunit ribosomal RNA", at positions 524 to 776 of the family's 1533-position model. The record is from RNAcentral.
UACGAAGGGGGCGAGCGUUGUUCGGAAUUACUGGGCGUAAAGGGCGCGCAGGCGGCUCUGAAAGUCAGACGUGAAAGCCCCGGGCUUAACCUGGGAACUGCAUUCGAUACUCUAGAGCUUGAGUACGGGAGAGGAGAGUGGAAUUCCCAGUGUAGAGGUGAAAUUCGUAGAUAUUGGGAAGAACACCGGUGGCGAAGGCGGCUCUCUGGACCGUAACUGACGCUGAGGCGCGAAAGCGUGGGGAGCAAACAGG